GACGAACGCUGGCGGCGUGCUUAACACAUGCAAGUCGAGCGGUAAGGCCCUUUCGGGGGUACACGAGCGGCGAACGGGUGAGUAACACGUGGGUGACCUGCCCUCAGCUCUGGGAUAAGCCUGGGAAACUGGGUCUAAUACUGGAUAUGACUCCACGGUGCAUGUCGUGGGGUGGAAAGCCUUGUGCGGCUGAGGAUGGGCCCGCGGCCUAUCAGCUUGUUGGUGGGGUGANGGCCUACCAAGGCGACGACGGGUAGCCGGCCUGAGAGGGCGACCGGCCAUACUGGGACUGAGACACGGCCCAGACUCCUACGGGAGGCAGCAGUGGGGAAUCUUGCGCAAUGGGCAAAGCCCUGACGCNGCGACGCCGCGUGAGGGAUGACGGCC
RNAcentral lists this ribosomal RNA (387 nucleotides) under uncultured bacterium. Its description in RNAcentral is "bacterial SSU rRNA". It matches the Rfam family "Bacterial small subunit ribosomal RNA", at positions 28 to 416 of the family's 1533-position model. The record is from RNAcentral.